Molecule: ribosomal RNA, 435 nt
Filed under: uncultured bacterium
Lineage: Bacteria
Description: partial 16S ribosomal RNA
Rfam family: Bacterial small subunit ribosomal RNA
Source: RNAcentral
GAUGAACGCUGGCGGUAUGCUUAACACAUGCAAGUCGAACGGACUCUUCGGAGUUAGUGGCGGACGGGUGAGGACGGCGUGGGAAGUUGCCUUUGGGUUCGGGACACCCGCUGGAAGGGUUGCUUAAGGCCGGUUGGGCCAAUAGGUAAAAGGGAAUUUGCCUGAAGAUGCGCUCGCGUCUGGUUAGCGAGUUGGGGAGGUAAAGGCCCACUAAGCAAGCGAUCAGUGGCUGGUUUGAGAGGAUGACCAGCCACACGGGGACUGAGACACGGCCCAGACGCCUACGGGAGGCAGCAGUGGGGAAUUGUCCGAAAUGGGCGAAAGUCUGACGGAGCAAUACCGCGUGAGGGAAGAAGGCUCUUGGGUUGUAAACCUCUUUUCUUAGGGAAGAACAAAAUGACGGUACCUAAGGAAUCAGCAUCGGCUAACUACGUG